GGACCUGUAGCGCAGUGGUUGACGCGCCCUCACCUCGGUGCGGGAGGACGCCGGUUCGAAUCCGGCCUGGUCCG
This 74-nucleotide transfer RNA is filed under the name Saccharothrix mutabilis subsp. capreolus. Its description in RNAcentral is "tRNA-OTHER". It matches the Rfam family "tRNA". Rfam says of the family: Transfer RNA (tRNA) molecules are approximately 80 nucleotides in length. Their secondary structure includes four short double-helical elements and three loops (D, anti-codon, and T loops). RNAcentral also lists the same sequence under 9 other names. The record is from RNAcentral. Lineage: Bacteria; Bacillati; Actinomycetota; Actinomycetes; Pseudonocardiales; Pseudonocardiaceae.